Molecule: long non-coding RNA, 809 nt
Filed under: Sorghum bicolor (sorghum)
Lineage: Eukaryota; Viridiplantae; Streptophyta; Magnoliopsida; Poales; Poaceae
Description: long non-coding RNA (SBIC_LNC002044)
Source: RNAcentral
UUGGAGUCCCUUCAAUGACGCUUCAGUGUUUUAGUAUUACGGAAUUGAGGUGUCCUUUUACAUUUUUUUUCAAUAAUUGGCUAUCAUUUUUAUUUCUGCAUUUUUUAUCUGCCUUCUUUGUUUCUUUAACCAGACAGUUACUUUUUUGGGGUGGUUGUCCUUAUAUUGGUAUACAAGGAAAAGGCCAAUGCUAGUCUACUAUCAGCAGCUUCUGUGUGGACCUCAGGAUCCUAGUUCAACAGUGGCAGACCACACCACAAGCACUCUACAGCACAACCAACACUACUAGUUCGCACUGGAGAAAUUUGUUUCUGUCUUUGAAUAGGUCGAGCUUAGCUUUGGGUUGUGUUUUGUUGUUUUGUUCAAGUCUGAGUUUAGCCAUGCAACUAAGAUUUAUUCUGUUCAGUUACUUUCUUGAGUGGCUAAAACCUUUAGAUCUGAUGCAUAGCGAUCUAAAGGUUUAUUUAUCCUGAUGCAUAGCGAUCUGUUUUUUUUUCCCAAAAGUGCACCGAAUUUCUUAAGGCUGACAUUCUGAUCAGGCUUUGUUUAUCUCCUCUUUUUUUUCUGCCAUCUUUGUGGGGGUCCCCUUUGCGUUGCGCCGUUGAUCUGCAUGUGGCUGUGAUCUACUGCUGCUGCUGGCUGCAUCCCUCAAUAAUCUAUCUGGGUAAGUCCCACAACAAGUCCCCUCUCCCUCCGCUCCUAAAUAUAACUAUCUACGUCGUGCUUGUCAUGCUUUGCUACUGCUUGCCAGAUUUCAUUUCAUGUUGCAAUAAUAUCUGCUGCUGGCUGCAUCCCUUAAUUUGUCACAU